RNAcentral lists this ribosomal RNA (492 nucleotides) under uncultured bacterium. RNAcentral's name for it is "partial 16S ribosomal RNA". It matches the Rfam family "Bacterial small subunit ribosomal RNA", at positions 29 to 507 of the family's 1533-position model. The record is from RNAcentral.
AGUGAACGCUGGCGGUAGGCCUAACACAUGCAAGUCGAACGGCAGCACAGUAAGAGCUUGCUCUUACGGGUGGCGAGUGGCGGACGGGUGAGGAAUACAUCGGACUCUACUUUUUCGUAGGGGAUAACGUAGGGAAACUUACGCUAAUACCGCAUACGACCUACGGGUGAAAGCAGGGGAUCUUCGGACCUUGCGCGAUUGAAUGAGCCGAUGUCGGAUUAGCUGGUUGGCGGGGUAACGGCCCACCAAGGCGACGAUCCGUAGCUGGUCUGAGAGGAUGGUCAGCGACACUGGAGGGUAGACACGGUCCAGACGCCUACGGUAGGCCGCAGUGGGGAAUAUUGGACAAUGGGCGCGAGCCUGAUCCAGCCAUACCGCGUGGGUGAAGAAGGCCUUCGGGUUGUAAAGCCCUUUUGUUGGGAAAGAAAAGCAGCAGGUUGAUACCCCGCUGGUCUGACGGUACCCAAAGAAUAAGCACCGGCUAACUUCGUG